This 424-nucleotide ribosomal RNA is filed under the name uncultured bacterium. RNAcentral describes it as "bacterial SSU rRNA". It matches the Rfam family "Bacterial small subunit ribosomal RNA", at positions 355 to 775 of the family's 1533-position model. The record is from RNAcentral.
UCGAGAAUUUUUCUCAAUGGGGGCAACCCUGAAGGAGCGACGCCGCGUGGAGGAUGAAGGCUUUCGGGUUGUAAACUCCUGUCAUUUGGGAACAAAGCGGGGCCGCGAGGCCCCGCCCGCUAGUACCAGAAGAGGAAGAGACGGCUAACUCUGUGCCAGCAGCCGCGGUAAUACAGAGGUCUCAAGCGUUGUUCGGAUUCAUUGGGCGUAAAGGGCGCGUAGGCGGCGGGGCCAGUCGGGUGUGAAAUGCCGGGGCUUAACCCCGGCCCGGCACUCGAUACUGCCCGGCUUGGAGGGCUGGAGAGGAGAUCGGAAUUCACGGUGUAGCAGUGAAAUGCGUAGAGAUCGUGAGGAAGACCGGUGGCGAAGGCGGAUCUCUGGACAGCACCUGACGCUGAGGCGCGAAGGCCAGGGGAGCAAACGG